GGCAGAAAGUCCAUUAUGGACAUACCUUAGAAUUGCAACAUGUUAGAUUGUCAAAACUAGAUAAGCAGAGUAUGGCUACUAAAAUGGUGAAUGGUAUUACAAAUCAAAGGAUUCUUGAAUCGACUUGGGAUAGAAUUGGAGAAGAACUGAUUUGCUAACAUCAAGAGAUUUACGACAUAUAGAAAAUAGCUGCAGUCUUGAACUGAGAAAUGGAAAACGAGAUCCUAAUGACGCAUUUUCUAUUGCUCUUUGGGUUGAGGAAUGUGAAAAACUUCAACAAAAUCCUAUUUUAUUUUAUAAACAGCAAGGAAAAGAGCAUAGUAUAUUGAAAGAUGAUGAUUUUUGUAUUAUUGUUAUGAAUACUUUUCAAAAACAAAUGAUAAGAAAAUUUCCACGUAUAAUUUAUAUUGACAGUACACAUGGUUUGAAUGGUUAUGAUUUUGAAAUGACAACAAUAAUGGUACUAGACGAGUUUCACCACGGUUUCCCAUUGGCUGAAUUGUUUUCCAAUAGAAAGGAUACAGUAGUUUAUAGAUUAUAGAAAAAAAAAAAUUCGAAAAUAUUCAAAUUUUGAAUUUUUUCAUAGAAAAAGUAGUUUAUAAUAUUUUAGUGUGAAUACCUAUUGAUCAUAAAACUUUCAAAUUAUGGUGAGGGAUUGAAACUCAAAUUACACUUCUAAAUACCUAUGUAUAAUAAUAGUUCAGUAUUCCAUUUUUGCGAACAUUCAGGACAUGCAUGCUUAAGAUUUAUUUGGUAAUGGAGUAAAACUUUGUCUAAGAGUGAAGAAAUAUAAUUUUUUCAUUAUAUUCAUAAGUAUAUAUCACUUAUUAGAUUUUAUUUAUAAUGAGAAGUGCUUCUUUCUAUUAUUUUGCAUGACUAUUGACAUUAUUUUAUUUCAGGUGUUGUGUUUUUCAUGUCAGAUAUGGCUGAAUGCUUUUUUAAUGGUUGGCUUAAGUUGAUGGGUGAAGGGAAUGCAUCUUAUCCACAACAUUUGUUUUGCUCAUGGCAUGUUGAUCGUGCAUGGCAAAGUAAUUUAAAUAAAAUUUCUGACAGAGAGAAGCGUUCAGAAAUUUAUAAAAUUUUGAAAACUUUGCAACAAGAAACAUCAUUGUUACAAUUCACUUCUGCUUUGAUUAAUGCUUUAGCUUACAUUUGCAAUAAUGAAAAAACAAGAAAUUUUGUAGAAUAUUUAAAAAAGAAUUAUACUCAUAAUUUCAGGAAGUGGGCUUAUUGUUUCAGGGUUGAAGCAGGAAUCAAUACAAAUAUGCACUUGGAGUCAAUGCAUAAAGUCAUAAAAUACUUUUACCUGGAAAGGAAGACAGUAAAACGACUUGAUAAGGGAUUGAAUGCUGAGUUGAAGUAUGUGAGAGAUAAAAGUGUUGAAAGAAUAAUUAGAUUGACUAAAGGUGAACAUACGAAUCAGACAAGAUUUUCAUCUCAGAAUCACAAGGAAUUUCUCAUUGAUAAUUAUCAUAUUAGUUGGAAUAUUUUGAAAAAUGAACAAACUUCAUAUACUAUUUACCGAUUAUUAGAUAUAAUAUCUGGGCCACGUGAUGAGAGGGGAGAGGUAUACGCUGUUACAAACUAUUAUACAAGGAAAAAUACAGGGUAAAAGAAGUAUAGGAAGAAGACGCAUCUCCUGGUUGAACAACCUAAGGCAGUGGUACAACAGUAGCUCUGUUGAGUUGUUCAGAUCCGCAACUUCAAAGAUAAAAAUCACCAUGAUGAUAGCCUUAAAGGAGACGGCACAUAAAGAAGAAGAAGAUAUAAGUGUUGUGAGCAAAUAUGCUUGUUUUGUGAAGUAUGUACUCGCAUGUUUUCAUGUGAAUGCAAAUUUUAUUUGGAAAAGAGGACUAUGUGUGAACACAUUCAUAUGCUAAUAAAUAAGCUUCAAACUGAAAAUAAAUUGGAACCUGUUCCUGACUUCAGAGUAGAUAAUAUAUCCAAAGAACUGUUAGCUUUGUCUGAAAAACCAAAUUCCUCUAAUGAAAAAAUUAAGGAUAUAAAAGAUUUAGCUUCCAAAUUUGAAAGUUUAGACUUUGAAAAGUUUGAUGAUGAAACUAUCAACAAAAUUCAUCACCACCUAAUAAUUGGAAAAAAUAUAACGAGUUGUUCUAAUUUUCCAAAUUACAAUACCAAGUUUCAAUUAAGAAAUUAAUCUAAUAGAAGGUUAAUAGAAUCCCAAAUAAGAUUCACUUCCACAAAAAAAAUGCAUAAAAUCAAAGACCAGUCUCAAAAGACUAACAUUACAGGAAGCUAUUAACAUUGUAGAAAAUUUAAGCCGUGUCUCUGAAGAUUCAUUUCUCUACAAAUCGGGAGAACCACUGAAUGACCAUCAAUAUUGUUGAAUUACUUGAUUGGAUAUGUAAUGUUUUCAGUCUGACAUUCUUUUGAAAUAAUAGUAAUUUACGUAACAAGUCCGGAAAAUAGACUUCUCAGAGAAAGAGCGUCCAGGAAGUGCUCACUUCCCGGACGGUUGCCGAAAAAUAUUAUUUGUGAUUUGCAUCACUUUUUUUUUUAACUACUUAUAAACAAUUUCAUAUAACCUACAUCUCUGUUAUUAUAUUGUCCAUGACUACUAUCAAUCAGGAAUUCUUUUUUCAUAUAUUCUGCUGUUUUUUAUUCAUUAAUUAUUUUAUGGUAGGCGUUAUUCCUCAAUAUGUAAUCACAUUUAUGUAUUUUUUACACCAAAGAAAGAAUAAUGCAAGUAGGUAUUUCAUUCACAAAAUAAACAUUGAUACAUUUAUUAGUCUCAAAAAUUAGAACAUUCAUAUGGGAAAUUUUUCACAAUUAAAAUUAACUUACCGGGCGAGAGUCAAAAUAUUUCGAUUUUUUUCUGUUGAUUUUGAUUUGACGAUUGAUUCAGCAAUCUUUCACAUUAUAUACACAUAUAAGACAUUUUGAGAUAUCAUCUAUCAAACAGAAUUAACUGAUUCAAGUUCAAACUAAUUUGUAUUUCGCGCCAUAACCUACAUUAGAUUACAUUUGGCAACGUUGGAUUUUCCUGGGCUAUCUAUCCUCUCGUAUAAUCCCUGAUUCGAAUCAUUCCGUCAGAUUGUGUUUACAUAAUUUUUUAAUAUUGAUAUUUAUUAUUUGUUUUUUUUUCAUAUGUGCUUAAUAAUUCGAUGAUAAAAAGUUAUAUAAUAAACCCUUGUAUAAAA
Harmonia axyridis is the source of this 3161-nucleotide long non-coding RNA. RefSeq lists it as uncharacterized. The record is from RefSeq and is a predicted model, not a curated record. Lineage: Eukaryota; Metazoa; Arthropoda; Insecta; Coleoptera; Coccinellidae. The transcript has 2 exons.